GUCCACGCCGUAAACGAUGUCGAUUUGGAGGCUGUGUCCUUGAGACGUGGCUUCCGGAGCUAACGCGUUAAAUCGACCGCCUGGGGAGUACGGCCGCAAGGUUAAAACUCAAAUGAAUUGACGGAGGCCCCGCACAAGCGGUGGAGCAUGUGGUUUAAUUCGAUGCAACGCGAAGAACCUUACCUGGCCUUGACAUGUCUGGAAUCCUGCAGAGAUGCGGGAGUGCCUUCGGGAAUCAGAACACAGGUGCUGCAUGGCUGUCGU
This 264-nucleotide ribosomal RNA is filed under the name uncultured bacterium. Its description in RNAcentral is "partial 16S ribosomal RNA". It matches the Rfam family "Bacterial small subunit ribosomal RNA", at positions 793 to 1055 of the family's 1533-position model. The record is from RNAcentral.